UCAAAACUCAAACGUAGUUUAGAAAACUAGUCCCGUCCGAAUAGUGCUUAAGUUUACAUCUGUAUCGCCGAUCUGGCAUAAUCAUAAUUUGCAAUCCGACAACAGACCUUUUGUUCUUAAGCCAUGGUUGGAUCAAGGUAUGCAUACUCUUGGUGAUAUAUUUAAUAAUCAGGGGCUAAGGUCUUAGAGUGUUAUAAUCUUCCUGGACAUUCCUAUUUUCUGUAUUUAAGGUUGAGAAGCGCUAUGCGUGCUUAUGGAGUACCAUGGAACUGUAACUUGAACUCUCACCCUUUGAUGGACUGUGUGAACUUUUCACAGACACGAGGAGCGGUGUCAUUCAUUUACAACAGACUGCUCAAACUCAGCUGUGGAAAGCUCCCCAUCACCACGAUAUGGGAAAAGGAACUGGCUCCUUGCAAACUAAAUUGGGACUGGAUAUGGGAGACUAUUCCAACGAUGUCAAAAAAUCUUGCCCAUCAGCAUAGGGCUUACGCCACUCCAAAUAUCUUGCACAAAAUGAAGCGCUUGCCUACCCCUUUCUGUUCACUCUGUAAUUCAAAUAUUGUGGGUACUUAUAUGCACAUGUUUUAUGAAUGCCAACAUAUUGGUAACUUUUGGGAUGAGGUAUUUCAAGUUGUGACAGAACUUUGUGAUAAGAUAAUCCUUAAGCACCCCAGUCUUUGUUUGUUGAAUGAUGAUGUGGAUCUUGAUCUGACUGCCAGCAUAGGAUUCUUCAUACUGCACUAACUAAAGCCAAAAAGAUAAUCUUUAAGAUUUGGCCAGGUAAGCCUACAAUUUACUACAGCGAGAAUGAACAAAGCCAAACCAAAAACACGUAGGGCCUGGUCUGAAUUUGUUACAAAUCUCUUAUAUAGGCCAUCCGUACAGAUUACUUCUGAGUGUUAUCAAGGAGGAGCAGGGGAAAUCCUGGAGCUGUGUUGAUGUUGUUGUAACCCAGGUUAAAAUCUGUCAAAUUAUAUAUUAAAUGUUUUUAUAUUGGUUCUUCUUCUUCUUCUUCUUCUUCGAUGGAUUUUUAUGGCAGUUGGCAUCCAAAUUAUUGCAUUACUGCCAUCUGUUGUCUCACUCUAGCUUACUCACUUUUAUUUAAACUCAUCUUUCCAGUCCAGUUCUCCUUAGAAAAUUAAACAAAUAUCUUGGUCAUUAUUUCCAUAUGUUACUAUAUUAUUUGUAUAUUGGUUCUGCUGUCCCUGUCCCCCGACCCGUUAAAUUGCCUUUGUGGAGUACGUGCCCUGCGACUUCACGUAACCCCAGUCAAUUGACUGUGCUUAGCCAAUCACGCAAUUGAGCACAGGUGUUUAAUCAGACUGUGGCGUCUUCCUCAUUCAGAGGUGUGGGGAAGCCAAUCGACAGUUGUGGACAGAACAACUUAACUGGCUGCAGGGAAUUCGUCACCGCCAUCAGGUUAUGUUUACAUAAAGGAACUGGCCAGGUUCUCUCUCUCUCUCUCUCUCUGUCUAUAGAUGAAUGAUGGCGAGCUGAAUUACUACGGCUAGGAGCCUAACAUCUGAACAGACAUCCUAUUGGUCUAGUAGGAAGGUUGUCUGCAGCCUGUCCCCAACACACAUAUACUAGCGCUUCAGUCCCACAUGCACAUCCUUUCCCUGGACAAUAACCAAUGGACUUAUUUAUAUAAACUCAUAAAACUUUUGUGGGUUGUUGCGUUAGUCUUCAAGAAACCAAACAUCGCUGGGACAGUUUUUUUUUUUUCUCUUUUUUUUUUUUUUUUUUGUUCUUGUGUGUGGUAUUUGCUGUAAUUUCUGUUGUUAUAUCAAGAGCAAUAACCUAAAAGUGUACUUGAUGUAUAUUCGGUUCAACUGCAGUCUGUAAAUAUUUUGUUUUUCCUAUGUUUUUUUUUCCUUCAUUAUUUUUGGUUGUAAAUAGUGUAAUCACUUUUCAAUACAUGGUACCUGCACCAAAUUUAAAA
This is a long non-coding RNA of Carassius auratus (goldfish), 1945 nucleotides long. RefSeq lists it as uncharacterized. The record is from RefSeq and is a predicted model, not a curated record. NCBI's taxonomy places the organism in Eukaryota, Metazoa, Chordata, Actinopteri, Cypriniformes, Cyprinidae. The transcript has 3 exons.